Molecule: ribosomal RNA, 465 nt
Filed under: Vreelandella stevensii
Lineage: Bacteria; Pseudomonadati; Pseudomonadota; Gammaproteobacteria; Oceanospirillales; Halomonadaceae
Description: partial 16S ribosomal RNA
Rfam family: Bacterial small subunit ribosomal RNA
Source: RNAcentral
CCUACGGGUGGCUGCAGUGGGGAAUAUUGGACAAUGGGCGAAAGCCUGAUCCAGCCAUGCCGCGUGUGUGAAGAAGGCCUUCGGGUUGUAAAGCACUUUCAGUGGGGAAGAAAGCCUUGGGGCUAAUACCCUCGAGGAAGGACAUCACCCACAGAAGAAGCACCGGCUAACUCCGUGCCAGCAGCCGCGGUAAUACGGAGGGUGCGAGCGUUAAUCGGAAUUACUGGGCGUAAAGCGCGCGUAGGCGGUCUGAUAAGCCGGUUGUGAAAGCCCCGGGCUCAACCUGGGAACGGCAUCCGGAACUGUCAGGCUAGAGUGCAGGAGAGGAAGGUAGAAUUCCCGGUGUAGCGGUGAAAUGCGUAGAGAUCGGGAGGAAUACCAGUGGCGAAGGCGGCCUUCUGGACUGACACUGACGCUGAGGUGCGAAAGCGUGGGUAGCAAACAGGACUAGAUACCCUGGUAGUC